RNAcentral lists this ribosomal RNA (119 nucleotides) under Helianthus annuus (common sunflower). Lineage: Eukaryota; Viridiplantae; Streptophyta; Magnoliopsida; Asterales; Asteraceae. The record is from RNAcentral.
GGUUGCGAUCAUACCAGCACUAAUGCACCGGAUCCCAACAGAACUCCGCAGUUAAGCGUGCAUGGGCGAGAGUAGUACUAGGAUGGGUGACCCCCUGGGAAGUCCUCGUGUUGCAACCC